This is a long non-coding RNA of Hippoglossus stenolepis (Pacific halibut), 1836 nucleotides long. RefSeq lists it as uncharacterized. The record is from RefSeq and is a predicted model, not a curated record. Lineage: Eukaryota; Metazoa; Chordata; Actinopteri; Pleuronectiformes; Pleuronectidae. The transcript has 2 exons.
ACCCUGAUCACAUGGACCCUGGUGGGCACACAGACCUGGAUAGUAUGUAUUCAAGUUAAAAGUAUGUAUCCUCUGGAAACCAUGAAUGUCUUUAUAGAAUCUUGUGCCAGUGUCUUACAGGGUUGAGAUGUUUCCUCAGAUUAUUGAAAACUGGACCUGAACGAUUCGUCAUCUGGGGACAAUGAACAUCUGCACAUGAAAUCAUCCAAUAGUCAUUGAGAUAUUUGAGUCUGAACCAAAGUGAUGGAACGACCAAUCAUCUCCUGCCACUAAAAUACGACAAAACAAACUGCGUCUGAUGAAACCAGCUGAUUGAAAGUCUUCAUUAACCACUGAACACAUCGUUGUCCCAGUGGGAGUCGUGCAGAUCACAGGAUGUCUCAUUGGAGCUGCUCUCCCCAACAUCCAGAGACACAGCCUGGCGGUGGCGUUUAUAAAGUCCAUGGCCAAGUCAAAUAAACUCAGGGAAAAACCCUUUUGGAUGCGUUGCAUCUGGAAUCCGAGCGACGCUGAUGUCACUGAGUGCAAAGUGAGGAGACAAGAGACAAACAACAAGGCUCUCCCUUUCCUCCCGCCUCCCCUCGUUCACCCCACGUCCUAAUCCUCUUUGCAGGCCUGCAGGAGAAGGUCGGCCAGCUGCCAAGGCAAGGGCUGCUGGGAAAACGUGGCGGCUGCCAAGCGGGAACGGCGGUGGUGGUGAACACAGCUUGGUUCUGCCAGAGGCCUCAAUUCAGACUGGACCAGCGCCAGACCCCGCCCACUCACAAACCCCCCUCUCUCGUUUGGCCCAGAGAGAGAGAGAGAGAGAGAGAGAGAGAGAGGGAGAGAGAGAGAGAGAGACAGAGAGAGAGAGAGAGAGAGAGACAGAGAGAGAGAGAGAGAGAGAGAGAGAGAGAGAGGGAGAGAGAGAGAGAGAGACAGAGAGAGAGAGAGAGAGAGAGGAGAGAGAGGCGGGGGUGUGGGAUGUGCCACAUCUGCAGCCAUGUGUGUGUGUGUGUGUGUGUGUGUGUGUGUGUGUGUUUAUUUGGGGGGGGGCAGACUGGGGUCAAACAUGGAGGACGAGGCUUUGAGUUUAACAUGCGUUUCCCAAUCAGCUCAUAGGACAGAGGGGCGGAGCUCGAUCUCUCUUUAAAAUAGGAAUAAGCCUGAAAAGCAGAUGGGAGGAGCAGAUCUGUUCCUGGGAAUCCACCUCGUUACCGAGCCCACAUGACGAUGGCAGAGCGAAGGCGUCCAGCGGCUCGGAGACAACUCCUCUCGUCAGGAAAGUGUCUCCAGACCGCAGACGCUUUGAGGGGCGGAGACGAGGGUUGUUCUCUCAGAGUGGAAGAACAUGUUGAGACUCAGAGACUGAUGGAGUCAUCAGCUGGGGAGUGGUUACCUUUCAGCCCCCCCCAUGAAUCAGUGGAGGAUCCUCUGCUCCUCUUCCUCCUCCUCUUCCUCCACAGAUCUGUGAAAUAUUUUUUAAACGAGGAUGUGGACUCGUGGACGACCUCCGACCUGAACUCACUUCCUGUUCCUCUGGGCUCAGGAUCAGGGUGGGAGGAGCCUGGCAGCAGCUCGCUGAGCCAAAACAAAGAGUCAAGAACAAACGUGAAUGAUUUGCUCCUUGAAGGAAAGAACAGAACAACACAACCUGCUGGAAACUGAAACUGACUGAAAACCCAGAAAAGAUUUAACCAAACAAAGCAUCUCAACCAAAGUGAGUUUGAAUUUCAUGGACAAACCAAGAGCAAACCAAACGGUAGUUUUUAAUCUGCAGUUCCUCCAUGUGAAGUGUUUCAGAUACGACUGAAGAUGAAAUUCAUACCUUUAUUAAAUCUUUUCAUUACAUUCCUG